RNAcentral lists this ribosomal RNA (495 nucleotides) under uncultured bacterium. RNAcentral describes it as "partial 16S ribosomal RNA". It matches the Rfam family "Bacterial small subunit ribosomal RNA", at positions 28 to 507 of the family's 1533-position model. The record is from RNAcentral.
GACGAACGCUGGCGGCGUGCCUAAUACAUGCAAGUCGAACGCUGAAGGAGGAGCUUGCUUCUCUGGAUGAGUUGCGAACGGGUGAGUAACGCGUAGGUAACCUGCCUGGUAGCGGGGGAUAACUAUUGGAAACGAUAGCUAAUACCGCAUAAGAGUAGAUGUUGCAUGACAUUUGCUUAAAAGGUGCAAUUGCAUCACUACCAGAUGGCCCUGCGUUGUAUUAGCUAGUUGGUGGGGUAACGGCUCACCAAGGCGACGAUACAUAGCCGACCUGAGAGGGUGAUCGGCCACACUGGGACUGAGACACGGCCCAGACUCCUACGGGAGGCAGCAGUAGGGAAUCUUCGGCAAUGGACGGAAGUCUGACCGAGCAACGCCGCGUGAGUGAAGAAGGUUUUCGGAUCGUAAAGCUCUGUUGUAAGAGAAGAACGAGUGUGAGAGUGGAAAGUUCACACUGUGACGGUAUCUUACCAGAAAGGGACGGCUAACUACGUG